This 872-nucleotide ribosomal RNA is filed under the name Lactococcus lactis. RNAcentral's name for it is "bacterial SSU rRNA". It matches the Rfam family "Bacterial small subunit ribosomal RNA", at positions 56 to 913 of the family's 1533-position model. The record is from RNAcentral. Lineage: Bacteria; Bacillati; Bacillota; Bacilli; Lactobacillales; Streptococcaceae.
UGCAGUUGAGCGCUGAGGUUGGUACUUGUACCGACUGGAUGAGCAGCGAACGGGUGAGUAACGCGUGGGGAAUCUGCCUUUGAGCGGGGGACAACAUUUGGAAACGAAUGCUAAUACCGCAUAAAAACUUUAAACACAAGUUUUAAGUUUGAAAGAUGCAAUUGCAUCACUCAAAGAUGAUCCCGCGUUGUAUUAGCUAGUUGGUGAGGUAAAGGCUCACCAAGGCGAUGAUACAUAGCCGACCUGAGAGGGUGAUCGGCCACAUUGGGACUGAGACACGGCCCAAACUCCUACGGGAGGCAGCAGUAGGGAAUCUUCGGCAAUGGACGAAAGUCUGACCGAGCAACGCCGCGUGAGUGAAGAAGGUUUUCGGAUCGUAAAACUCUGUUGGUAGAGAAGAACGUUGGUGAGAGUGGAAAGCUCAUCAAGUGACGGUAACUACCCAGAAAGGGACGGCUAACUACGUGCCAGCAGCCGCGGUAAUACGUAGGUCCCGAGCGUUGUCCGGAUUUAUUGGGCGUAAAGCGAGCGCAGGUGGUUUAUUAAGUCUGGUGUAAAAGGCAGUGGCUCAACCAUUGUAUGCAUUGGAAACUGGUAGACUUGAGUGCAGGAGAGGAGAGUGGAAUUCCAUGUGUAGCGGUGAAAUGCGUAGAUAUAUGGAGGAACACCGGUGGCGAAAGCGGCUCUCUGGCCUGUAACUGACACUGAGGCUCGAAAGCGUGGGGAGCAAACAGGAUUAGAUACCCUGGUAGUCCACGCCGUAAACGAUGAGUGCUAGAUGUAGGGAGCUAUAAGUUCUCUGUAUCGCAGCUAACGCAAUAAGCACUCCGCCUGGGGAGUACGACCGCAAGGUUGAAACUCAAAGGAAUUGA